This is an RNA transcript of Chenopodium quinoa (quinoa), 1394 nucleotides long. RefSeq lists it as uncharacterized. The record is from RefSeq and is a predicted model, not a curated record. NCBI's taxonomy places the organism in Eukaryota, Viridiplantae, Streptophyta, Magnoliopsida, Caryophyllales, Amaranthaceae. The transcript has 10 exons.
ACGAACAGAUCAGAUCAAACGAGAUAAAUUCAUAAAAAAUAAGAUGAAUAGGCCGAAUAUAGGAUUAGAUAAAGUACAGCAGUAGCAACUAACAACAACGGGAACAACGGUUACCAUACCUAACUAAACAAUGCUGACCACCGGAGUAGCACCACUCUCAUCUCCCCGCUUAUCAAUGGCGCCUAUUCUUAAACCACCGCCCAUGUUAGCAUCUAGCAGAGCUUCAUUUCUAUCGCCAUUGUUAGGGUUAAGGUUUCCGAAAUUCAACUCAAUUAUUUCUCCCAGAAUCCAACGCCUUUCCAUUAAAGCCUCCAGAACUGAAUCCAAAGGCGUUUCCUUAGGGUUUCGACCUCCCGAUUUUCAGCUUCCGGAGCCAUUAACGGGGAAGACAUGGACAUUGCAAGAUUUCGAAGCUUAUCCGGCUUUAUUGGUUAUGUUUAUCUGCAAUCAUUGCCCAUUUGUCAUACAUUUGAAAAAGGAUAUUGUGAAGCUUUCAAAGUUUUACAUGAAGAAGGGACUUGCUGUUGUUGCAAUAUCUUCCAACUCUGUUGUUACUUAUCUACAGGAUGGACCAGAAUUUAUGGCAGAAGAAGCCAAAUUCUAUAGUUAUCCAUUUCCUUAUUUAUAUGACGAGUCUCAAGAUGUUGCACAUGAUUUUGGAGCAGUUUGCACACCAGAGUUUUUCUUGUUUAAGAAGGAGGGACGUAGGCCGUUUGAGCUUGUGUACCAUGGACAGUUUGAUGACUCCAGACCAAGUAAUAAUGUGCCCAUUACUGGAAGGGACUUGAGUAUGGCAAUUGACUCUGUUCUCAGCGAUCAACCUGUUACUGAUCAUCAAAAACCCAGUGUUGGAUGUAGCAUCAAGUGGCAUCCUGAGGUGAAGCAAUAAUUUGACCGGCCUUUUAUUCUCUAAAACUUGGUGAUGAUUGUUUACAACCAUAACUUUUGCUUUCAGAUCAUUUAUAUCAACAGCAGGCAGCUGGCAGCAGGAAUACGCAAAGUUGAUGUUUAUCACAUGGAGGUGCCUGGGAUGAUGUAUGACCUGUGGGUAAAAUGAUAUGGAUGUGAUCGGUAUGAGAUACUGACUCAAUGGGCAUAUCUGUAAAGAUGUUAGCUAAAUGACAUUGUCACUUGAUUUAAUGAUUUUGAUGCCCUCAUACAUGUUAUUCACAUGUAGUCCCAACCAUAUGAGAACACUAUUGACUAUGUAAGUAGUGUAGUUAUUUAGGAUAUUAAUGGCUCACAUCACAAGUUUGCAUGUUAGUUCAUGUUGCUAACUUGUUUAAUUGUUGCUCAUUUAUACCGAACUGUGGUCUAUUUGGGUUCCAUGAGUCUAGAAUGGUAUACAGUACAGUUUGCCCUUGUUUAGAAUAUAUGUGGAUAUUGUAAACAAA